RNAcentral lists this long non-coding RNA (288 nucleotides) under Mustela putorius furo (domestic ferret). RNAcentral's name for it is "lncRNA (ENSMPUG00000025456.1)". Lineage: Eukaryota; Metazoa; Chordata; Mammalia; Carnivora; Mustelidae. The record is from RNAcentral.
AAUGGGGACUGGGUAUCUGAUCUUGGACAAGUCACUUAGUCUCAGCUCCAGUUCUCUCGUCUGCAGAUGGGAAUAAUGAAAACACCUACCCCCAAGGUGAGGACUCGUGAGACCAGCCACGUACUUGGCUGAGCACCAUGCCUGGCACAAGAGGGAAAGAGAUCAUAAGCAGGCAGAGCAGCAGCAGAGAGAGCGGGAAGCAGACUGCCCGCUGAGCAGAAAGCCCAAUGCAGGGCUCAAUCCCAGGACCCUGAGAUCAUGACCUGGGCUGAAGACAUAAGAGUUCCU